GGAGGAAGGUGGGGAUGACGUCAAGUCAUCAUGGCCCUUACGACCAGGGCUACACACGUGCUACAAUGGCAUAUACAAAGAGAAGCGACCUCGCGAGAGCAAGCGGACCUCAUAAAGUAUGUCGUAGUCCGGAUUGGAGUCUGCAACUCGACUCCAUGAAGUCGGAAUCGCUAGUAAUCGUAGAUCAGAAUGCUACGGUGAAUACGUUCCCGGGCCUUGUACACACCGCCCGUCACACCAUGGGAGUGGGUUGCAAAAGAAGUAGGUAGCUUAACCUUCGGGAGGGCGCUUACCACUUUGUGAUUCAUGACUGGGGUGAAGUCGUAACAAGGUAACCGUAGGGGAACCUGCGGUUGGAUCACCUCCUUACCUUAAAGAA
This 379-nucleotide ribosomal RNA is filed under the name Klebsiella pneumoniae. RNAcentral describes it as "bacterial SSU rRNA". It matches the Rfam family "Bacterial small subunit ribosomal RNA", at positions 1165 to 1533 of the family's 1533-position model. The record is from RNAcentral. Lineage: Bacteria; Pseudomonadati; Pseudomonadota; Gammaproteobacteria; Enterobacterales; Enterobacteriaceae.